RNAcentral lists this ribosomal RNA (704 nucleotides) under Pseudomonas sp. SE-1-09. RNAcentral describes it as "bacterial SSU rRNA". It matches the Rfam family "Bacterial small subunit ribosomal RNA", at positions 56 to 755 of the family's 1533-position model. The record is from RNAcentral. Lineage: Bacteria; Pseudomonadati; Pseudomonadota; Gammaproteobacteria; Pseudomonadales; Pseudomonadaceae.
UGCAAGUCGAGCGGAUGACAGGAGCUUGCUCCUGAAUUCAGCGGCGGACGGGUGAGUAAUGCCUAGGAAUCUGCCUGGUAGUGGGGGACAACGUUUCGAAAGGAACGCUAAUACCGCAUACGUCCUACGGGAGAAAGCAGGGGACCUUCGGGCCUUGCGCUAUCAGAUGAGCCUAGGUCGGAUUAGCUAGUUGGUGAGGUAAUGGCUCACCAAGGCGACGAUCCGUAACUGGUCUGAGAGGAUGAUCAGUCACACUGGAACUGAGACACGGUCCAGACUCCUACGGGAGGCAGCAGUGGGGAAUAUUGGACAAUGGGCGAAAGCCUGAUCCAGCCAUGCCGCGUGUGUGAAGAAGGUCUUCGGAUUGUAAAGCACUUUAAGUUGGGAGGAAGGGCAGUAACUUAAUACGUUGCUGUCUUGACGUUACCGACAGAAUAAGCACCGGCUAACUCUGUGCCAGCAGCCGCGGUAAUACAGAGGGUGCAAGCGUUAAUCGGAAUUACUGGGCGUAAAGCGCGCGUAGGUGGUUUGUUAAGUUGGAUGUGAAAGCCCCGGGCUCAACCUGGGAACUGCAUUCAAAACUGACAAGCUAGAGUAUGGUAGAGGGUGGUGGAAUUUCCUGUGUAGCGGUGAAAUGCGUAGAUAUAGGAAGGAACACCAGUGGCGAAGGCGACCACCUGGACUGAUACUGACACUGAGGUGCG